CCUCUCCGAGAAAACCCUAGAGACACCGCCACCAAAUCCCACCGCCUUAGGGUGGCAGAGCCACCCCCAAAUCCAGCCAAAUUAACACCAGAUGCUCUCCUCAUUCUCCUCUUUACAACCAUACACACCGUUUCCUUCGAAUCGUUCCAGAGCUGUUCGAAUCAUGGAUCGAAAUUCCGGUCCAGAUACAAAUCCAUCUAAAAAUCCCCAAAUCCAUACCCUGUACUCCCCACCCCUUUAUCACCACUAAUCCAUACCCAAAAACCCUCGAAUUUCACUGAAGCUCAAUGAAUUUCAAAUCUAGGGUUCCUAACGGCUCGAGUCUGUUUUAAGAGUCUUAGAGGUCGGCUGGUUUCUCGUUA
RNAcentral lists this long non-coding RNA (362 nucleotides) under Nicotiana benthamiana. RNAcentral's name for it is "long non-coding RNA (NBEN_LNC027193)". The record is from RNAcentral. Lineage: Eukaryota; Viridiplantae; Streptophyta; Magnoliopsida; Solanales; Solanaceae.